CGCAAGCCUGACGGAGCAAUACCGCGUGGGGGAGGAAGGCUCUUGGGUCGUAAACCUCUUUUCUCUGGGAAGAAUACAAUGACGGUACCUGAGGAAUCAGCAUCGGCUAACUCCGUGCCAGCAGCCGCGGUAAUACGGAGGAUGCAAGCGUUAUCCGGAAUGAUUGGGCGUAAAGCGUCCGCAGGUGGCAGUGUAAGUCUGCUGUCAAAGGUCAGGGCUUAACCCUGAACAGGCAGUGGAAACUACACAGCUAGAGUGCGGUGGGGGCAGAGGGAAUUCCCAGUGUAGCGGUGAAAUGCGUAGAGAUUGGGAAGAACACCGGUGGCGAAAGCGCUCUGCUAGGCCGUAACUGACACUCAUGGACGAAAGCUAGGGGAGCG
This 380-nucleotide ribosomal RNA is filed under the name uncultured cyanobacterium. RNAcentral describes it as "bacterial SSU rRNA". It matches the Rfam family "Bacterial small subunit ribosomal RNA", at positions 376 to 770 of the family's 1533-position model. The record is from RNAcentral. Lineage: Bacteria; Bacillati; Cyanobacteriota.